This 504-nucleotide ribosomal RNA is filed under the name uncultured bacterium. RNAcentral describes it as "partial 16S ribosomal RNA". It matches the Rfam family "Bacterial small subunit ribosomal RNA", at positions 28 to 523 of the family's 1533-position model. The record is from RNAcentral.
GAUGAACGCUAGCGGCAGGCUUAAUACAUGCAAGUCGAGGGGCAGCAUGAUUGUAGCAAUACAAUUGAUGGCGACCGGCAAACGGGUGCGGAACACGUACACAACCUUCCAACAAGUGGGGGAUAGCCCAGAGAAAUUUGGAUUAAUACCCCGUAACAUAGCGAUGUGGCAUCACAUUGCUAUUAUAGAUUUUUCGCUUGUUGAUGGGUGCGCGGCUGAUUAGAUAGUUGGCGGGGUAACGGCCCACCAAGUCUACGGUCAGUAGCUGAUGUGAGAGCAUGAUCAGCCACACGGGCACUGAGACACGGGCCCGACUCCUACGGGAGGCAGCAGUAAGGAAUAUUGGACAAUGGACGCAAGUCUGAUCCAGCCAUGCCGCGUGAAGGAUUAAGGUCCUCUGGAUUGUAAACUUCUUUUAUAAGGGACGAAAAAAGGCUUUUCUAAGUCGUCUGACGGUACCUUAUGAAUAAGCACCGGCUAACUCCGUGCCAGCAGCCGCCGUAA